GAGUUUGAUCUUGGCUCAGAUUGAACGCUGGCGGCAUGCCUUACACAUGCAAGUCGAGCGGCAGCGCGGGGGCAACCCUGGCGGCGAGCGGCGAACGGGUGAGUAAUGCAUCGGAACGUGUCCUCUUGUGGGGGAUAACCAGUCGAAAGACUGGCUAAUACCGCAUGAGCUCGAGAGAGGAAAGCAGGGGACCGCAAGGCCUUGCGCGAGAGGAGCGGCCGAUGCCGGAUUAGCUAGUUGGUGGGGUAAUGGCCUACCAAGGCGACGAUCCGUAGCUGGUCUGAGAGGACGACCAGCCACACUGGGACUGAGACACGGCCCAGACUCCUACGGGAGGCAGCAGUGGGGAAUUUUGGACAAUGGGGGCAACCCUGAUCCAGCCAUGCCGCGUGUGUGAAGAAGGCCUUCGGUUGUAA
This 416-nucleotide ribosomal RNA is filed under the name uncultured beta proteobacterium. RNAcentral describes it as "bacterial SSU rRNA". It matches the Rfam family "Bacterial small subunit ribosomal RNA", at positions 9 to 428 of the family's 1533-position model. The record is from RNAcentral. Lineage: Bacteria; Pseudomonadati; Pseudomonadota; Betaproteobacteria.